AUAAUAAGUGCAUUUUUCUUGCUGUCUAUGGAGCAGGCUUAUGUGUAGCAAUUAGAGUCAAGUAGAUUAAAGCUUACACAACUUGAACAAGACCUUCAAAGGGCUCGUUCUCAGGGACUAUUCAUGGAUUGUGGUGGUGUUGGAGGCAAUCUAAGCUCUGCUUGCAGAUGGGUUAAUUUUAGAGAAGACAUCAUCUCUAUAGGAGUUCUCUUAAUUGUUUUUGAAUCUUGCCCUGAUGCACUUGUAUAGGUGAAUUGAAUAUUUUUUUUUCAAUUUUUCUCUGAACUUUCUCGUUGUCGCUUUCAAUUGGUCAUGGCUAUGAUUAUGUGUCAUUCCUGUUCAG
Molecule: non-coding RNA, 343 nt
Organism: Arachis ipaensis
Lineage: Eukaryota; Viridiplantae; Streptophyta; Magnoliopsida; Fabales; Fabaceae
Source: RefSeq, a predicted model, not a curated record